Long non-coding RNA from Melospiza melodia melodia, 1806 nucleotides. RefSeq lists it as uncharacterized. The record is from RefSeq and is a predicted model, not a curated record. The transcript is spliced from 3 exons. NCBI's taxonomy places the organism in Eukaryota, Metazoa, Chordata, Aves, Passeriformes, Passerellidae.
CUGCAUCUAAUUCAUAAAAGUAUUACCUCAUAUCUGUGAUUUUAAUAGCCUUAAUAACUUAGUCUGAAGCUUUGCCUGUGAGAUUCAUGAUUAGUGAAGGUAUAACUCCUGUGCUCUAUAGUAUCCCUUCCUACUCUAAACCAGCAGACAUCCAAUGGGAAGACUGAAAACAUCAGGCAGCCAGUAGUUUCCUGUGCAAUUUCUGUGCAAAGAAGCUCAGACUAAGCAAAGUUAAAGCUGAUUGUUGAGCUGAGUGGAGAACACCACCAGGGAGAGGUAAGGCACUGUUGUCAAAUCCUGGUUCUUCUCAUAGCUUGGUUAUGGAAGACUGAGUUUGCUUCCUUGUUCAGAAUCUUAGAAGGAGUGAGAGAUUUUGGUUAUUUACAUUUUGUUUCAGUUGUGUCUGUCUCUUGAACCUGGAAAAUAAGAUCUAGCUUCUCUAUUUUGCAAGCAGAAGCAGUUUGGGGUUCAAGUAUUCUCUUGAAGUAAAAGAAGAUGACAUUUUCUCCUUCCAGCAAUAAAUGUGGAAGAGCUCUGCUAAUGUGCAUGUUUACCACACAUCCAGAUGACAUAAAUCUCAUUUGAUGAGCUGUUGGCAAACCAGAGCUAUGGUAGAAACAUCCUCCCACCUUUGCAGUGGAAAGGUGCUGUGGAUGUCACAAUUUCUAGCGGCUCUUCUGGGCACCAAUCUGAUAAAGGCAUCAUCACAGAAUAUUCUGAAUUGGAAAGGAUGAGGAUAAUUGAACACAACUUUUACAGGAAAGGCCCAUACAGGGAUCAAACCCACAACCCUGGCAUUAUUAGUACCAUGUUCUAAUCAACUGAGCUAAUCACACGGGUAUCAUGAAAAAGAUACCAGAAGCAGAAGGGGACAAGACUUUGGUUCUGUUUCUAGUCAGAACUCUUUUGAACCUUUCAAAACAAAUGACUUAAAGAAAAGGCAAGAAAAAGAAUCAUUAGGAGAGAAAUAAAACCAUCUCCUCUCUGGCUUUAGAUCUCUCACUCAUAAUCAUAAAUACAAAUAAUAUCUAAAUUCAACUUUGUCUUUAACUUUGGAUAUCAGGAGCAAUUUUGAUUUAUUUUAGAAGGGGCAAGAAGAGAGAAAAUGGCAAAAGGGGUUUGUAUUUUGCAUUCUCUCUUGAUUUGGUCUGACAGAUUCUUGCUGUCUUUGAAAGUAGCCAGUUUCUAAAAGAGAACUGCUAACUGCUGUUAAUCCCAGAACUGGAAAGAUUUCCUGCAACAGCCAAGUCUCAUUCAAGCCCAGAAAACAGGCUGUGAACUCAAUGGCUUUCAACUCUUCCUAAAAGUUGCCUGCCUUGGGCUGAAGAGAUCUCAGUGAACCCAGUUUCUCACAUGAACAGAAAAGGAAUUCUCAUUUCUCUAUUUAAGUUGUUAUACUAGCCCAGUCUCUGAGAUAUGAGUCAGAAAUGUCUUCUGAAAGAAACCAUCAUGUCUAAAGGCCAUCAGCAGCACAAAAUAUCAAAGGAACAUUGAGGAAAUGUUUGGACACUUCCCUGGAUUUCAUUGAAAAAUUCCAGAUACUUCUGAACCCGAGAGCCAGCCAUGAACCACAAUGCAGUCACCAAUUGAUCUGUCAUAUUGUGGUUUUCAAAGAUGAACUGAGAAUGCUCUGAAAGGAAUUUGCAGCUGAAGAGCUGCAGGAAGACCUAGGGUAGGGAAUUACAUUUUCAUUGUGGCUAACUUUCAAUGACACUGAAGAUGUCUCACUUGGAAGAUCAUCAAACCCAUGUUUUCUCUUCCACUUCAACAGACAACGCUUCGUUCAGUUGAUGCAGAAACUCUGAA